GGGCACGACACCGGAGAGGGAGCCUGAGAAACGGCUACCACAUNCAAGGAUGGCAGCAGGCGCGCAAAUUACCCAAUCCCGACACGGGGAGGUAGUGACAAUAAAUAACAAUACGGGGUUCUUUAGGAUCUCGUAAUUGGAAUGAGUACAAUUUAAAUCUCUUAACGAGGAACAAUUGGAGGGCAAGUCUGGUGCCAGCAGCCGCGGUAAUUCCAGCUCCAAUAGCGUAUAUUAAAGUUGUUGCAGUUAAAAAGCUCGUAGUUGAAUUUCGGGGUUAGUAGGUUGGUCAUGCCUCUGGUAUGUACUGGUCUCACUGAUUCCUCCUUCCUUAUGAACCGUAAUGCCAUUAAUUUGGUGUUGCGGGGAAUUUGGACUGUUACUUUGAAAAAAUUAGAGUGUUUAAAGCAAGCUAACGCUUGAAUACAUUAGCAUGGAAUAAUGAAAUAGGACGUUCGAUCUUAUUUUGUUGGUUUCUAGGAUUGACGUAAUGAUUAAUAGGGAUAGUUGGGGGCAUUAGUAUUCAAUUGUCAGAGGUGAAAUUCUUGGAUUUAUUGAAGACUAACUACUGCGAAAGCAUUUGCCAAGGAUGUUUUCAUUAAUCAAGAACGAAAGUUAGGGGAUCGAAGACGAUCAGAUACCGUCGUAGUCUUAACCAUAAACUAUGCCGACUAGGGAUCGGAUGAUGUUAAUUUUUUAAUGACUCAUUCGGCGCCUUACGGGAAACCAAAGUG
Molecule: ribosomal RNA, 731 nt
Filed under: uncultured Glomeromycotina
Lineage: Eukaryota; Fungi; Glomeromycota
Description: SSU rRNA
Rfam family: Eukaryotic small subunit ribosomal RNA
Source: RNAcentral